CAGCAUCCACUGAUAGACCUUGAACAAUUUGCUGUGUUCUUUUGGUUUGCACUAGGAUGCAAAAGAAAAUAAUCCCUGUGCUUUCUGUCUUUGUAACAGUCCAGAUUGAAUUGGGGAACACAUCU
Ictidomys tridecemlineatus (thirteen-lined ground squirrel) is the source of this 125-nucleotide small nucleolar RNA. The record is from Ensembl. Lineage: Eukaryota; Metazoa; Chordata; Mammalia; Rodentia; Sciuridae.